AGAGAAGUCGCCAGCAAAAACAAGGCUAGCUUCUGUUGAAGCACAAGUUGUACUUGUGUUUCAUCUCAAAUCGAUCAUCAAAAUACAAUAAUUAGGUGAAAUAGCUUCUCUGUUUGAAGCUUUACUCUCCAGUUUCUUCUGAUUCGCGGAGAGGCAAAAUGGGUCAAGCCUUUCGCAAGCUGUUCGAUACUUUCUUCGGCAAUUCUGAGAUGAGGGUUGUAAUGCUUGGCCUUGAUGCGGCUGGAAAAACAACUAUAUUAUACAAACUGCACAUAGGAGAAGUUCUAUCAACAGUUCCUACUAUCGGAUUCAACGUGGAAAAAGUACAGUACAAAAAUGUAAUUUUUACUGUGUGGGAUGUUGGUGGACAAGAGAAA
Molecule: unclassified non-coding RNA, 377 nt
Filed under: Hevea brasiliensis (rubber tree)
Lineage: Eukaryota; Viridiplantae; Streptophyta; Magnoliopsida; Malpighiales; Euphorbiaceae
Source: RNAcentral